This 168-nucleotide long non-coding RNA is filed under the name Papio anubis (olive baboon). RNAcentral describes it as "lncRNA (ENSPANG00000037212.1)". Lineage: Eukaryota; Metazoa; Chordata; Mammalia; Primates; Cercopithecidae. The record is from RNAcentral.
UAUACAAACACCGUCCCUCUAGGCCCGGAGACUGUCAUGGAAGAGAUUUACAUGUUGAAGCCCUACCUCCUGAUAUAACUACUGGGAAAUAAAAGUAAAAUUCUAAGCCCCUCAACUGAGUGAACAGACCUUCUCUUGGCCAUAGCAACCCCAGAAUAACCUUGAAAA